This 253-nucleotide ribosomal RNA is filed under the name uncultured bacterium. RNAcentral's name for it is "partial 16S ribosomal RNA". It matches the Rfam family "Bacterial small subunit ribosomal RNA", at positions 524 to 776 of the family's 1533-position model. The record is from RNAcentral.
UACGGAGGGGGCAAGCGUUAUUCGGAAUUAUUGGGCGUAAAGGGCGCGUAGGCGGCUAGAUGCGUCAAAGGUGAAAUCCCUCGGCUCAACUGAGGAACUGCCUUUGAAACUGUCUGGCUUGAGGCCGGGAGAGGGUAGCGGAAUUCCCAGUGUAGCGGUGAAAUGCGUAGAUAUUGGGAGGAACACCAGUGGCGAAGGCGGCUACCUGGACCGGUUCUGACGCUGAGGCGCGAAAGCGUGGGUAGCAAACAGG